GAUGAACGCUGACAGAAUGCUUAACACAUGCAAGUCAACUUGAACUUCGGUUUGGGUGGCGGACGGGUGAGUAACGCGUAAAGAACUUGCCUCACAGUUAGGGACAACAUUUGGAAACGAAUGCUAAUACCUGAUAUUAUGAUUUUAGGGCGUCCUAGAAUUAUGAAAGCUAUAUGCGCUGUGAGAGAGCUUUGCGUCCCAUUAGCUAGUUGGAGAGGUAACGGCUCACCAAGGCGAUGAUGGGUAGCCGGCCUGAGAGGGUGAACGGCCACAAGGGGACUGAGACACGGCCCUUACUCCUACGGGAGGCAGCAGUGGGGAAUAUUGGACAAUGGACCAAGAGUCUGAACCAGCAAUUCUGUGUGCACGAUGAAGUUUUUCGGAAUGUAAAGUGCUUUCAGUUGGGAAGAAAAAAAUGACGGUACCAACAGAAGAAGUGACGGCUAAAUACGUG
This 454-nucleotide ribosomal RNA is filed under the name uncultured bacterium. Its description in RNAcentral is "partial 16S ribosomal RNA". It matches the Rfam family "Bacterial small subunit ribosomal RNA", at positions 28 to 507 of the family's 1533-position model. The record is from RNAcentral.